AUCUAAGUAAGCAGAUAGUUUUUUGCAUCACACAGAAUAAAGACCCUUGUAUUUGGCACCUUUGAGAUUCUUGACAAGAGGUUCACAUAUAAACCAAGAUGAGUAGAUUCCAGGAUGACUGCCUAUUUUAAUGACAUAAAAUUUGAACUUCUGAGCUGGGCGUGAGGAAUAAGUAGAUGUUACCGUUCAGGUAGAGUUGUCCGCGUUGGAGGUAGUGGAGUUGUGCUUCUGCCCUUGCAAGGAGGCGAUCAAUAAGAAGCUUGAGUAGAGAUAGUAGUGUCCAGAUGAGAGUUAAUACUAACUCUUGCAGCAUAUAAUUGUUGCAAUUAGGGACAUCCAUUACAAGAGAAGAGGAUACAGAGCGGGGGAGAAGAGAAUGGUUAGAGUUUUCUAACUAGGCUUUUGAUAUCCACUAGGUUAAGCUCGUUCUUGAAGUUUUCAAACAGGGAUCGUCCCAGGGGUUUCGUAAAGAUGUUCACCAACUAUUACAGAGGGGGAAUAUAUUCCAGUUCAACGUCCCCACUUCCAAUUUUUUCGCGAGUAAAGUGGUAAUGAGUGGCUAUGUGGCGAGUGCGAGGAUUCACCCCCGGAUUAACAACCACAGCAAUACUGCCAAAAUUGUCACAAUGGAAGCAAGUCGGUUUGUGUAUUGCAAACUGAAAAUCUUGAAAUAGCGUAAGCAGCCGUGCUACGAUUUUGGGAGGGAUCGGAUCAUUUCCCAUGCGACAGCGGGGCAAAUGUCUCCUCUACAUCCACUCCUUUCUGCUGUUUGAAACCACGGACAACUAGUCUAGAUUUAAAUCUUUGAAAAUUACCUUCUGGAUCAAUUUUUGCUGUAAACACCCAUCGGGUGGAGAUCGCACUUCUCCCAGGAGGGAAUUUUGUUAAGUACCACACAUCAUUCUUGAUAAUAGAGUUGUAUUUGUCGAAGAUUGAAUUCUUCCAGUUCGGACACUUCCAGGCCUUGCUGGAGUCUGCAGGUUCGAGGGUGGAAGUGGUGACAGCCGCGGCAUAGUGGUCGCUCAGCCAUUUUGGGGGUUGUGUCAUCCGCCCUGAUCUGGUGGUAAUUUUGCCUAUCUCGGGUCUGUAGCGGGGUUUAGGUGUGUGAGGCUUGAGUGUUUUCCAGAAAACAGUUGUUCAGGUUAAGCGUUGGAUUCAUUUACUCUAGUAGGUGUUAUAUUUAAUAGGUAGAUUGCAGUCUCAGCAGCCUCGGGCCACAAGAAAUUUGGCACAUGACCAGAUAACAACAUAAUUAUUCUGUCUAAGAGGGUUCUAUUUUAUCGCUCUACCAUCCCAUUUUGAUGGGGGUAUGAUCUUGUGUCAAUUGACAGAUUAUCCCAUGCGAUUUGCAAUAUUUGGAGAAGGUAGUGGAGAGAAAUUCUCCACCUCUGUUUGACCGUAGGAUCUUCACAUACAAUCCAGUUUGCUUCUCUAUCAUCAUCCUAAAUUCACAAAAAAAAUUCAAACGCUUUCGUGUUUUAUGAAGUAAAUAUACACUUUUCUGUUGUAAUCAUCAACAAAUAACAGGAAGUACAUGUUUCCUGCAGCUGAAGGAAGAGGCAGUGGGCCACAAAUAUCUACAUGACCUAGUUCUAGCAGUUGUUUCAAUCCGUUUGUGGCUUUCUGUGGUGUAGGCUCCCUAGCUUGUUUCUCUUUGAAACAAUGUUGACAAAUAAUGGGUUCUACGGUGAAGGUUGGUAUACCAUAGACAUUUCCUUCAGAGGCUAUCUUGUGUAAGGUAGUGAAUCCAACAUGCCCAAGUCGGCAGUGCCAUAAGUAGGAAAGAUUAUAUGAGUAUUUACUGUUGUGAUGACUGGGGUGGUCUAAGUUAUCUAGUAAAGCAAGGGAUGUGAGAUUGGUUCUACUUUGGGGUCGUAAGACUACUCCGUCGUGAGUAAGCUUGUAAAGCUGAGAUUUAUUAUCCCAAUAUCCUACUGUAAUAAUUUUUGAA
Molecule: long non-coding RNA, 1951 nt
Organism: Physcomitrium patens
Lineage: Eukaryota; Viridiplantae; Streptophyta; Bryopsida; Funariales; Funariaceae
Source: RefSeq, a predicted model, not a curated record